CAGUAGCCGCGGUAAUACGUAGGGUGCGAGCGUUAAUCGGAAUUAUUGGGCGUAAAGGGCUCGCAGGCGGUUUCUUAAGUCUGAUGUGAAAGCCCCCGGCUCAACCGGGGAGGGUCAUUGGAAACUGGGAAACUUGAGUGCAGAAGAGGAGAGUGGAAUUCCACGUGUAGCGGUGAAAUGCGUAGAGAUGUGGAGGAACACCAGUGGCGAAGGCGACUCUCUGGUCUGUAACUGACGCUGAGGAGCGAAAGCGUGGGGAGCGAACAGGAGUAGAGACCCCAGUAGUCCCUGUCUCUUAUAC
Molecule: ribosomal RNA, 301 nt
Filed under: uncultured bacterium
Lineage: Bacteria
Description: partial 16S ribosomal RNA
Rfam family: Bacterial small subunit ribosomal RNA
Source: RNAcentral